GCCGCGAUAGCUCAGUGGUAGAGCACUUCCUUCCAUGGUAAGGAAGGGGUCUCGGGUUCAAGUCCCGAUCGUGGCUCCA
RNAcentral lists this transfer RNA (79 nucleotides) under Candidatus Saccharimonadota bacterium. RNAcentral's name for it is "tRNA-OTHER". It matches the Rfam family "tRNA". Rfam says of the family: Transfer RNA (tRNA) molecules are approximately 80 nucleotides in length. Their secondary structure includes four short double-helical elements and three loops (D, anti-codon, and T loops). Further hydrogen bonds mediate the characteristic L-shaped molecular structure. tRNAs have two regions of fundamental functional importance: the anti-codon, which is responsible for specific mRNA codon recognition, and the 3' end, to which the tRNAs corresponding amino acid is attached (by aminoacyl-tRNA synthetases). tRNAs cope with the degeneracy of the genetic code in two manners: having more than one tRNA (with a specific anti-codon) for a particular amino acid; and 'wobble' base-pairing, i.e. permitting non-standard base-pairing at the 3rd anti-codon position. Lineage: Bacteria; Candidatus Saccharimonadota. The record is from RNAcentral.